AUUCACAUCAUUUCCAACUAAAAAAGCCCGUAUUUAUACAACUCCGUUUCCUUGUCGCCAUCUCUCUCUCUCUCUCUCUCUCUUCCUGCGAUUCCGCACUAUAAUCAUCGUCUGUAAUAUCCCAGUGGUUUAUCCGGACUCGUUGCAACCGCCAAUGAUGAGAAUUCGCUAAGGUCAGGAUGGCAACGGGGAUGAUGGCCCUUCACUGGCAGGUCAAGAGAGGAAUUGAGAUAAGGGAGAAAAGGGAUUGGGGAGAUUCAGGGGGAAUUGGGGAGAAUUGAGGGAAAUAAGAGAGAGAUAGAGGUGUAGAGGUAGAGCUAGAGAUAGAGAAAGAGAUAGAGAGGGAUAUGGAGUUGGGAUAGAGAUUUGAAGUGGGGAAUUAGAGAUAGAGAAGAGACGAGAGUUGGGGAAAGAGAGAUUAGAGGAGAAGAGAGUUUGGGGAAGAAGCAAAUUCAAUAUUUCAUUUCAUUCCUCUCGUCUCAUUACAAUCUGUUAACUCUAUGGAAAAUGCUAACUGGACAACAGGGUUGGGUUGUAGAUCCUACAACUCAAAGAUCCAACGGUUGAUAUUAAUCACUUUGCACAGUAGGUUAUAAACUCACCCUCUUUUAUUUUUUCAUCUACUACUACACCCACAGCUGUCGUCUUCUCUCUCUCUCGCUCUCUCGGUCUCUCCACCAUCUCUCUCUCUCGCUCUCUCUCUCUGUUUCUCGCUCUGUCCCGCACACCUCUCGCCACUGUCUCCCGCACAGGUCUCGCCAUCUCUGAGUUUCUUCCUCUCGCUCUCAUCUCUUUCUCUCUCUCUCUCUCUCGCUCGCUCGCUCGCAGAUCACUCCAUCGGGCGGUGUUCGGCAGGGAAGGUGGUCGGUAGAAGCUCGUGUCCGAAGCUGUCUCGAAGGUGUCUCUCGCCCUCACCUUUCUCCAUUGGUAGGAGGUCGCAUCUCAACUGCUCCACUGUCCAUCCCAGUACCUGUGACGCAUUCUUUCAGUCGUGGGCGUCCGAAAUUGGGAACGAUUUCGGAGCUAAUUCGGACACAACCGAACAGAGGAUUCAACUCAAACAAGAGAUAUUUUUGAAUUUCUAUAAUCUUUUAUUUCUAAUUUUAAAUUUAAUAUAAAAUUUAUAUUUUGAGGGUUUAGGGUUGCAGCUUGGGUUCGUCUGUGCGUGCUCCGGAUUUCGUCACCGACUAGCUGAUUCAUUUUAUUUAGGGUUUACUCAGCUGGUAUAUUAUAUUAUUUGUUGCAUUUGUAAAAAUAAAGCAUUUAUGAUUUUAGUGUUUAGAAGAUGCG
This 1290-nucleotide long non-coding RNA is filed under the name Ananas comosus (pineapple). RNAcentral's name for it is "long non-coding RNA (ACOM_LNC023139)". The record is from RNAcentral. Lineage: Eukaryota; Viridiplantae; Streptophyta; Magnoliopsida; Poales; Bromeliaceae.